Dermatophagoides pteronyssinus (European house dust mite) is the source of this 153-nucleotide ribosomal RNA. RefSeq annotates it as 5.8S ribosomal RNA. The record is from RefSeq and is a predicted model, not a curated record. NCBI's taxonomy places the organism in Eukaryota, Metazoa, Arthropoda, Arachnida, Sarcoptiformes, Pyroglyphidae.
UACUGCCAGUGGUGGAUCACUCGGCUCGCUGGUCGAGGAAGAACGCAGCUAGCUGCGUUAAUCGGUGUGAAAUGCAGGACACUCCGAUCACUCGACAUUCGAACGCACAUUGCAGCCAUUGGAUAGCCGAUGGCUUCGUUUGUCUGAGCGUCG